GCUGGUGUAGCUUAAACCCAAAGCAUGGCACUGAAGAUGCCAAGAUAAAAAUUAGCCCUUUUCACAAGCA
Molecule: transfer RNA, 70 nt
Filed under: Gymnura altavela (spiny butterfly ray)
Lineage: Eukaryota; Metazoa; Chordata; Chondrichthyes; Myliobatiformes; Gymnuridae
Description: tRNA-Phe
Rfam family: tRNA
About the family: Transfer RNA (tRNA) molecules are approximately 80 nucleotides in length. Their secondary structure includes four short double-helical elements and three loops (D, anti-codon, and T loops). Further hydrogen bonds mediate the characteristic L-shaped molecular structure. tRNAs have two regions of fundamental functional importance: the anti-codon, which is responsible for specific mRNA codon recognition, and the 3' end, to which the tRNAs corresponding amino acid is attached (by aminoacyl-tRNA synthetases). tRNAs cope with the degeneracy of the genetic code in two manners: having more than one tRNA (with a specific anti-codon) for a particular amino acid; and 'wobble' base-pairing, i.e. permitting non-standard base-pairing at the 3rd anti-codon position.
Source: RNAcentral